UCUCCCCUUCCCUCCUUUUCUCUCUCUUCCUCCCUUCCUCCCUUCUUUCCCUUCCAUCCUUCCUUUCUCUCUUCUUACAGUGCAUUAGUCAGCAUGGCCUAUGUUUUAAACUCUGUUUGCUACAAAACAGUUUUUCAAUGAUUUAAAACAUCACAUCUUAUUUUUCAAGCAGGCUAUAAUAUUUCCACCUGAGGUCAAUGGUGGGCAUCUAUUCCCAUUAUAGCCAUUCAGAAACUCAGGCUGAUAAAGGAGAUGCCAUCUUGAAUGUUGACAAUCAUAAUAUCAGAAUAAAAAAUAUAAGGGAAUUAUCACUUUGGCAAGUAAGUAUUCUGGGUUAUAGGUGAUAUAUGCCAUUUCUAGUAUACUCACAGCCCAAUGGAUAGGAUGAGUCACUUGCCUCCCUUUUAAUCCUACACGGAUUAAAAAGUGCAGUUUUACCAUGCUUUCAAAAGACGGGUGGUCAUAAAUAUUUAGCAAACAGCACUAAUGUGUAUUAUAAUAAGUAAUGCCAAAGGUCUUUCAAUAGUAGUAUUCUUUUCAAAUAACCUAUUUUUGCAUGGUUAUUUUGAUUCAUUAAUUUCUAUUUUAUAUUAAUUUAUUUCUUUAUUUCUGUGGGUAUAUUUUGCUAUACAUUUUGUAAUUUUGAGAUGAAUUCUGUGUUCAUUAAUUUCCAGUCUUUCUUCUCCUGUAAUAAAAAUACUAAAGGCUAUAAAGUUCCCUUCUUCUUCUACUUUGAGUAAAUUAUAGAAGUUUUGAUAUGUAAUCUUUUCAUUAUGGUUCAGUUGUGUUCUCUAAAGUUCAUUGUGAUUUCUUUAUGACGUAAGUUAUUUAUCUAUUUGCUUUCUUUGCUUGUUUGUUUUGGUUUUCAAAUAUGUGGGCUUUUUUAUUUUUCUGUUUGUUAUUUGUACCUUUAUUGCAUCACUGUUAUAGAACAUGAUCUCCAGGAUACCAAUCCUUUGAAAUUUAUGGUGAUGUCCUUUAAAUUAAAUCCUAGACUUGAGUUUUUCAAUCUCUAAAGGUAGCAGAAAUUUUUAUCAUAAACUCACAGGAAAGCUGGACUGUGGUAUCAAAUUCCCCUCAACACACCCAAGGCAAAAGACAGAUGCACCCAGAAAGUGAAUGGACCUGCAGUCACCUGAAGGCGUUAUUGAGCUAGAUGUCCAAGACUGUUUCUUCCUUGCAUGUAUGGUUCCUCAGCUAGCACACCUGCAGCCACAGAGGACUUCUUCAUAACAUCUCACUUCAUGUGGCCUCUCCAAGUGCCUAGUUGGAGCUCUUUAACAGUAAGGAAGGAUAAGUCAAGUUCACCCAUCAAAAUAUCUAUCCUUCAGUUUCAACAUGGUGUCAACUCAAAUUACAUUGGAAAAGAAUGUACUGAAGUCACAAUAACAUUAUAAUCAAAAGAUGAAGCUUAACCUGAGGAAAUCUUAGAAGCAUAUUUCAUAAUGUAAAAAAAGACAAUAUUUUCCUUUCACUUAAGAAACCUGAAGUAUUUCACAACCCUGACUGAAUAAGGAAAACCCAGGGGACAUGUGCCUAGAAGCAACCGUAACUAUCUCAGGACUCUGAAGCAAAUUUCCCUGAGGAACUUCAGCUUCAUUUAUGCUCUGUCCCUAACAAAUGUUAAAUAAAAGCAAAGUCAUUGUCUGUUUGGAUUUUCAGCCUCUUUUCUCAGCAUUAUUGUUACUCCCAUUUCAUUUAUGUAUUUAUUUAUUUAUUUAGAGACAGAGUGCAAUUCUGAAGUGCAUUAGCGUGAUCACAGCUCACUGCAACCUCAAACUCCUGGGCCCAAUAAGUAAUCCUCCCAUCUCAGCUUUCCAUGCAUCUGGGACUAUAGGGGUGCACCACCAGGUGGGGUCUUGCUAUAUUGCCCAGGCUGCAUUUUUUUUGAUUUUUAAAUUCCUUAGAUGGAGCUGACUAAUCAGGAGGUAUGUCAGCCUGAAAAUUCAACAGAUGCUGUAGUGCUAAAGGGCAGGCAAAAGGGAUGUUUCUAUGGGAGUUUAGCUAGAAUGCUAUAUUUUUAACAAAAGUCUCAGAAUUUGAACUUAUAGACUUAUUUUAAUCAUUUAUUAUCUAAAUUACAAGACAAUAUGGAAUGUUCAGCUAAUAAUCCGGUUGCACUUGAAAAUGAAGAGUUUAUUUGGCCUUGUCAAUUAUAAAGAUAUAUAUAUAUAUAUCAUUAUAACAUAUAUAAUAUAUAUCAUUAUAAUAAAUAUUGAAUCUGUUACUGGACAAAUUCUGAUAAACUGACAGAAUAUCAUAAUGAGUCCAUGUAUUAACCCCAAUACAUUCAGAAUGAUAAUAUUGAAAAGAAAUCAUACUAAAAUGUAUUAUGCAUUAUAAAUGUUAUUUCUUUAUGUUAUUUCUU
Molecule: non-coding RNA, 2368 nt
Organism: Microcebus murinus (gray mouse lemur)
Lineage: Eukaryota; Metazoa; Chordata; Mammalia; Primates; Cheirogaleidae
Source: RefSeq, a predicted model, not a curated record